CCUACGGGCGGCUGCAGUGGGGAAUAUUGCACAAUGGGCGCAAGCCUGAUGCAGCCAUGCCGCGUGUGUGAAGAAGGCCUUCGGGUUGUAAAGCACUUUCAGCGGGGAGGAAGGCGGUGAGGUUAAUAACCUCAUCGAUUGACGUUACCCGCAGAAGAAGCACCGGCUAACUCCGUGCCAGCAGCCGCGGUAAUACGGAGGGUGCAAGCGUUAAUCGGGAUUACUGGGCGUAAAGCGCACGCAGGCGGUCUGUCAAGUCGGAUGUGAAAUCCCCGGGCUCAACCUGGGAACUGCAUUCGAAACUGGCAGGCUAGAGUCUUGUAGAGGGGGGUAGAAUUCCAGGUGUAGCGGUGAAAUGCGUAGAGACCUGGAGGAAUACCGGUGGCGAAGGCGGCCCCCUGGACAAAGACUGACGCUCAGGUGCGAAAGCGUGGGGAGCAAACAGGAUUAGAUACCCGGGUAGUC
This 465-nucleotide ribosomal RNA is filed under the name uncultured Klebsiella sp. RNAcentral's name for it is "bacterial SSU rRNA". It matches the Rfam family "Bacterial small subunit ribosomal RNA", at positions 338 to 795 of the family's 1533-position model. The record is from RNAcentral. Lineage: Bacteria; Pseudomonadati; Pseudomonadota; Gammaproteobacteria; Enterobacterales; Enterobacteriaceae.